RNAcentral lists this ribosomal RNA (253 nucleotides) under uncultured bacterium. Its description in RNAcentral is "partial 16S ribosomal RNA". It matches the Rfam family "Bacterial small subunit ribosomal RNA", at positions 524 to 776 of the family's 1533-position model. The record is from RNAcentral.
UACGAAGGGGGCUAGCGUUGUUCGGAAUUACUGGGCGUAAAGCGCACGUAGGCGGAUCGAUAAGUCAGGGGUGAAAUCCCAGAGCUCAACUCUGGAACUGCCUUUGAGACUGUCGAUCUGGAGCAGAGUAGAGGUGAGUGGAAUUCCGAGUGUAGAGGUGAAAUUCGUAGAUAUUCGGAGGAACACCAGUGGCGAAGGCGGCUCACUGGACUCUUGCUGACGCUGAGGUGCGAAAGCGUGGGGAGCAAACAGG